Molecule: ribosomal RNA, 404 nt
Filed under: uncultured bacterium
Lineage: Bacteria
Description: partial 16S ribosomal RNA
Rfam family: Bacterial small subunit ribosomal RNA
Source: RNAcentral
AUUGAACGCUGGCGGCAGGCCUAACACAUGCAAGUCGAGCGAGCGGCGGACGGGUGAGUAAUGUAUGGGGACUGCCCGAUAGAGGGGGAUAACUACUGAAAACGGUAGCUAAUACUGCAUACUAUCGGAUAACCCAUAUGGGAUUAGCUAGUAGGUGAGGUAAUGGCUCACCUAGGCGACGAUCCCUAGCUGGUCUGAGAGAAUGAUCAGCCACACUGGGACUGAGAAACGGCCCAGAAUUCUACGGAGGAAGCAGUGGGGAAUAUUGGACAAUGGGGGAAAGGCUGAUGCAGCCAGGCCGCGUGGAGGAAGAAGGCCCUAGGGUUGUAAAGUACUUUCAGUCGGGAGGCGUUACCGACAGGAGAAGCACCGGCUAACUCCGGGCCAGCAGCCGCGGUAAUUCC